Long non-coding RNA from Salvelinus fontinalis (brook trout), 1916 nucleotides. RefSeq lists it as uncharacterized. The transcript is spliced from 2 exons. NCBI's taxonomy places the organism in Eukaryota, Metazoa, Chordata, Actinopteri, Salmoniformes, Salmonidae. The record is from RefSeq and is a predicted model, not a curated record.
UGGGUGCGAUAAUAAUAGAAGGAACAGAAUAGACGCACCUUCCGUUAUUUUCAGGGUGUAUCGAUACAAUGAUGGACCUUAGAUGCAUAGGCGGGUGUGUGCCGUUAUUUUUUCUGGCUAUUGGUUUUGAUGUUAUUGGUUUCAUUAUCCUGUUCAUUGGAAUUUUUGCCAAUUUGCGUAUCGAUGGCAGGUUUUAUGGCGAUUUCUUGAUUUACAGUGGUUCAAUUAUAAUUUUCAUAAGUUUGGCUUGGUGGAUUAUGUGGUACGUGGGAAAUAUACAGGUCUCAGAAGACAGCUUUGGAACAAGCUUAAUGAAAAAGAAACGGAGUUUUGUACAGUUGGCCAGAAAGUUGUCAGAGAGGCUUUCCAAAAAAUGCAAACCUGAACAUGUAACCACAAAGUAUCCCGAGGAAAACAAGGUUAAAGCUGUGACGCCUUCACCUGUUCACGUCGCCUCUCGAAUAACCUGGGGGAAAUCAUUCGGUUAUCAGAAUGGUGGCUACGACUCAAGCUUGAACUCCUUUUCGAUGGAGAAGGAAAAACAGACACCAGAUAUACAGAACUUGGAUGUGCAGACCCUCGCUAGGGGUAAUGUUGAAAGGCUGUUCUGAUUGUUCUCCGUAGCACUUUCUGAUCCCAAGACUACCUUCAACACUGUACGCUUCACGGAAUGGGACUACAGACAAUUCAGGACAUUAAUCAGUACUGCUCUGGACGUCAGUUCUUGACAACAAAGACCAUAAGAUCAUUAUGGGGUGAAAUGACACAUAGUCCUAGGGGUAUAGGCCUACUGUAGAUAUUGCUCUGAAUGCAUAUUAUAUUGUUUUAGUUUUUUAUUUAUAUAUCAUUUAUUAAUAUAAUCGCCAUGUGAUAUGUGAACAUUUUAUGUUAUAGGAUCAAUAUUAUGUGGAAAGGCUAUAUUUUGUCAUAUAAACAUACCGACAUGUUAAGGCCCAUCAUAGCCUUUUUCUAGAAUAGUCUCAGACGGAAAUCCCAGAGGCCCCUGUCUGAACGGCAGGUAAUUGAACACAGGCUCUCUUCAAGCCAGACCCAGAAAUGCAAUCAUCUGCAUUUACAAUUGUUGACACUACAUAAAAACAGUAGUCAGGCAGGUUUGCCUGUGCCACAACAAUUGCAUUGCCAAAGCAGGCCGUAAACCCUCAACAAAACGUUGUGUGGCCUGGGGCACUGAGCUUGGUUUCACCUGCAUGUUGACAUUACAUGGACAUUUGGGCUAUACUCGUUUAACUGUUCACUGAGUAGGCUGAUUUAGUUUUUAUUCAUGUGCACAAACUUCUAAAAUGUAAAUUCCACCAGACAGCAUUUUUUUUAAUGUUGUGAUUUAUUUCAUAUUUUAUUUCUUAAUAUUCUUUAGAUUUCAGUUGCCUUACCAACAUAUAGCUUUUGUCUAACAUGACUGAUAAUGAGCGUGUGCAUAUCAAGUCAUUGUACUCAGGGCGUUGCCUGUCUGUAUGCUAAUGUUACCUAAUCCUGGCCUGUUGACUCUGCUUUGCGGUCCUUGGUUGAAUAGGUAUUGCACAGAGGUAAACCAAACUCCCACGACUGUCUGACUGGUCAAACAAGGUACUUAAAGGGAGAGGUUUUUCACUGCAGUUCCUCUUUCUGUCGUGAUGUAGGAAGCAUGAAAUAGUAAAUAAUUGUGGAAUGCAUCCAGCAGACUAAAUAUAAACUGCUGAUAGAAUCAUUGAAAUAUAUCUUCCCAACAUACAGUAUCUUUUUCCACACUGUUCAUAAUGUUACAUGUUAUACAUAUAUGCUGAUGUCAUAUUUUUCAUAUCAAAUGCAUUAUUAUUUUAUACACAGAUGCAUGGUGCAUUAGAUUUUUAUUUAUUUUAAAUAUACAUCCAAUGAUCUUGAUAAGCAUCCAAAAUAAAAAUAGUUAUCUAAUGAGAUGA